This 321-nucleotide unclassified non-coding RNA is filed under the name uncultured fungus. Its description in RNAcentral is "partial contains 5.8S ribosomal RNA and internal transcribed spacer 2". The stretch from base 1 to 133 matches the Rfam family "5.8S ribosomal RNA", at positions 22 to 154 of the family's 154-position model. The record is from RNAcentral. Lineage: Eukaryota; Fungi.
UGGUUCUGGCAUNGAUGAAGAACGCAGCGAAAUGCGAUAAGUAAUGUGAAUUGCAGAAUUCAGUGAAUCAUCGAAUCUUUGAACGCACAUUGCGCCCAUUAGUAUUCUGGUGGGCAUGCCUGUUCGAGCGUCAUUUCAACCCUUAAGCCCUGUUGCUUGGCGUUGGGAGCCUGCUGUACUGCAGCUCCUUAAAGUUAGUGGCGGAGUUGGGUCACACUCUGAGCGUAGUAAUUUUUCUCGCUUUUGAAGGUGGCCUAUCCCCUGCCGUUAAACCCCCUAUUUCUCAAGGUUGACCUCGGAUCAGGUAGGAAUACCCGCUGA